AUUUAUACAGUGAAACUGCGAAUGGCUCAUUAAAUCAGUUACGUUUAUUUGAUAGUAACUUACUACUUGGAUAACCGUGGUAAUUCUAGAGCUAAUACAUGCUUAAAAUCCCGACUGUUGGAAGGGAUGUAUUUAUUAGAUAAAAAAUCAAUGCCUUCGGCUCUUUGAUGAUUCAUAAUAACUUUUCGAAUCGCAUGGCCUUGUGCCGGCGAUGGUUCAUUCAAAUUUCUGCCCUAUCAACUUUCGAUGGUAGGAUAGUGGCCUACCAUGGUUUCAACGGGUAACGGGGAAUAAGGGUUCGAUUCCGGAGAGGGAGCCUGAGAAACGGCUACCACAUCCAAGGAAGGCAGCAGGCGCGCAAAUUACCCAAUCCCGACACGGGGAGGUAGUGACAAUAAAUAACGAUAUAGGGCCCUUUUGGGUCUUAUAAUUGGAAUGAGUACAAUGUAAAUACCUUAACGAGGAACAAUUGGAGGGCAAGUCUGGUGCCAGCAGCCGCGGUAAUUCCAGCUCCAAAAGCGUAUAUUAAAGUUGUUGCAGUUAAAAAGCUCGUAGUUGAACCUUGGGCUUGGUUAGCCGGUCCACCUUUUGGUGUGUACUGGACCUAACCGAGCCUUUCCUUCUGGCUAACCUUCUUCCUUUUUGGGAGUUGGCGAACCAGGACUUUUACUUUGAAAAAAUUAGAGUGUUCAAAGCAGGCCUUUGCUCGAAUAUAUUAGCAUGGAAUAAUAGAAUAGGACGUAUGGUUCUAUUUUGUUGGUUUCUAGGACCAUCGUAAUGAUUAAUAGGA
RNAcentral lists this ribosomal RNA (790 nucleotides) under Yamadazyma tenuis. Its description in RNAcentral is "SSU rRNA". It matches the Rfam family "Eukaryotic small subunit ribosomal RNA", at positions 72 to 877 of the family's 1831-position model. Lineage: Eukaryota; Fungi; Ascomycota; Pichiomycetes; Serinales; Debaryomycetaceae. The record is from RNAcentral.